ACCUAGCUGACGAAUGUUAAAUAGGACGAAACGCGCGUCCUGGAU
Molecule: non-coding RNA, 45 nt
Organism: Schistosoma curassoni
Lineage: Eukaryota; Metazoa; Platyhelminthes; Trematoda; Strigeidida; Schistosomatidae
Source: Rfam